CCUACGGGAGGCAGCAGUGGGGGAUAUUGCACAAUGGGGGGAACCCUGAUGCAGCGACGCCGCGUGGGUGAAGAAGCGCCUCGGCGCGUAAAGCCCUGUCAGCAGGGAAGAAAAUGACGGUACCUGAAGAAGAAGCCCCGGCUAACUACGUGCCAGCAGCCGCGGUAAUACGUAGGGGGCAAGCGUUAUCCGGAUUUACUGGGUGUAAAGGGGGCGCAGACGGCGAUGCAAGCCAGGAGUGAAAGCCCGGGGCCCAACCCCGGGACUGCUCUUGGAACUGGGGAUCUAGAGUGUGCGAGAGGUAU
This 305-nucleotide ribosomal RNA is filed under the name uncultured bacterium. Its description in RNAcentral is "bacterial SSU rRNA". It matches the Rfam family "Bacterial small subunit ribosomal RNA", at positions 338 to 660 of the family's 1533-position model. The record is from RNAcentral.